Molecule: ribosomal RNA, 420 nt
Filed under: uncultured bacterium
Lineage: Bacteria
Description: bacterial SSU rRNA
Rfam family: Bacterial small subunit ribosomal RNA
Source: RNAcentral
UAAGGAAUAUUGCUCAAUGGGAGAAAUCCUGAAGCAGCAACGCCGCGUGGAGGAUGAAGGGUCUAUGACUUGUAAACUCCUGUAAAGAAGGAAAAAAUUCCCAUUAGAUGGGAGAUGAUGGUACUUCUGGAGUAAGCCCCGGCUAACUACGUGCCAGCAGCCGCGGUAAUACGUAGGGGGCAAGCGUUGUCCGGAUUUACUGGGUGUAAAGGGUGCUCAGGCGGAUUUGUAAGUCAGAGGUGAAAUCUUACAGCUUAACUGUGAAACUGCCUUUGAUACUGCAAGCCUAGAGUAUGGAAGAGAGUGAUGGAAUAUCUGGUGUAGCAGUGAAAUGCGUAGAUAUCAGAUAGAACACCAAUGGCGAAGGCAGUCACUUGGUCCAUUACUGACGCUAAAGCACGAAAGCGUAGGCAGCAAACA